RNAcentral lists this ribosomal RNA (484 nucleotides) under uncultured bacterium. RNAcentral describes it as "partial 16S ribosomal RNA". It matches the Rfam family "Bacterial small subunit ribosomal RNA", at positions 30 to 507 of the family's 1533-position model. The record is from RNAcentral.
AUUGAACGCUGGCGGCAGGCCUAACACAUGCAAGUCGAGCGGUAGAGAGAAGCUUGCUUCUCUUGAGAGCGGCGGACGGGUGAGUAAUGCCUAGGAAUCUGCCUGGUAGUGGGGGAUAACGUUCGGACACGGACGCUAAUACCGCAUACGUCCUACGGGAGAAAGCAGGGGACCUUCGGGCCUUGCGCUAUCAGAUGAGCCUAGGUCGGAUUAGCUAGUUGGUGGGGUAAUGGCUCACCAAGGCGACGAUCCGUAACUGGUCUGAGAGGAUGAUCAGUCACACUGGAACUGAGACACGGUCCAGACUCCUACGGGAGGCAGCAGUGGGGAAUAUUGGACAAUGGGCGAAAGCCUGAUCCAGCCAUGCCGCGUGUGUGAAGAAGGUCUUCGGAUUGUAAAGCACUUUAAGUUGGGAGGAAGGGAAGUAAAAUAAUACUUUGCUGUUUUGACGUUACCGACAGAAUAAGCACCGGCUAACUCUGUG